This 250-nucleotide ribosomal RNA is filed under the name uncultured bacterium. Its description in RNAcentral is "partial 16S ribosomal RNA". It matches the Rfam family "Bacterial small subunit ribosomal RNA", at positions 524 to 772 of the family's 1533-position model. The record is from RNAcentral.
UACGUAGGGUGCGAGCGUUGUCCGGAAUUACUGGGCGUAAAGAGCUCGUAGGUGGUCUGUCGCGUCAUUUGUGAAAGCCCGGGGCUUAACUCCGGGUUGGCAGGUGAUACGGGCAUGACUGGAGUACUGUAGGGGAGACUGGAAUUCCUGGUGUAGCGGUGAAAUGCGCAGAUAUCAGGAGGAACACCGGUGGCGAAGGCGGGUCUCUGGGCAGUAACUGACGCUGAGGAGCGAAAGCAUGGGUAGCGAA